CCUGCCAGCAGAGAGACCCGCGAAC
Molecule: ribosomal RNA, 25 nt
Filed under: Ficus fulva
Lineage: Eukaryota; Viridiplantae; Streptophyta; Magnoliopsida; Rosales; Moraceae
Also listed under: 5 other names
Description: partial 18S ribosomal RNA
Source: RNAcentral